This 329-nucleotide ribosomal RNA is filed under the name uncultured eukaryote. Its description in RNAcentral is "partial 18S ribosomal RNA". It matches the Rfam family "Eukaryotic small subunit ribosomal RNA", at positions 1470 to 1796 of the family's 1831-position model. The record is from RNAcentral.
CCCUUAGAUGUUCUGGGCCGCACGCGCGCUACACUGAUGCAUUCAACGAGUCUAAAACCUGCUCUGAUAGGGGUGGGUAAUCUUUUGAAUGUGCAUCGUGAUUGGGAUAGAUGAUUGCAAUUUUUCAUCUUCAACGAGGAAUGCCUAGUAAACGCAAGUCAUCAGCUUGCAUUGAUUACGUCCCUGCCCUUUGUACACACCGCCCGUCGCUCCUACCGAUUGAAUGAUCCGAUGAAUAUCAUGGAUUGAGGAUGCAAGCAGGUUCGCCUGUCAUCAUCUUCGAGAAGUGAAGUAAAUCUUAUCAUUUAGAGGAAGGAGAAGUCGUAACA